CUCAAAUUUGAAAUCUGGCGUCCUCAGGGCGUCCGAGUUGUAAUCUAUAGAGGCGUUUUCCGUGCCGGACCGUGUCCAAGUUCCUUGGAACAGGAUAUCAAAGAGGGUGACAAUCCCGUACUUGACACGACGACCGGUGCUCUGUGAUACGUCUUCUACGAGUCGAGUUGUUUGGGAAUGCAGCUCAAAAUGGGUGGUGAGUUCCAUCUAAAGCUAAAUAUUGGCGAGAGACCGAUAGCGAACAAGUACCGUGAGGGAAAGAUGAAAAGCACUUUGGAAAGAGAGUUAAACAGUACGUGAAAUUGUUGAAAGGGAAACGAUUGAAGUCAGUCGUGACCGAGAGGCUCAGCCGGUUCUGCCGGUGUAUUCCCCUCGGUCGGGUCAACAUCAGUUUUGUCCGGUGGAUAAGGGCGGUAGGAAGGUGGCACCCUCGGGUGUGUUAUAGCCUGCCGUCGCAUACAUCGGGUGAGACUGAGGAACGCAGCUCGCCUUUAUGGCCGGGGUUCGCCCACGUCCGAGCUUAGGAUGUUGACAUAAUGGCUUUAAACGACCCGUCUUGAAACACGGGACC
This 571-nucleotide ribosomal RNA is filed under the name Papiliotrema laurentii. Its description in RNAcentral is "eukaryotic LSU rRNA". It matches the Rfam family "Eukaryotic large subunit ribosomal RNA", at positions 108 to 664 of the family's 3401-position model. Lineage: Eukaryota; Fungi; Basidiomycota; Tremellomycetes; Tremellales; Rhynchogastremaceae. The record is from RNAcentral.